UUGAAAGUACGCCAUAAAUAUGGCGCCAAAAGAGUUUUCAAGCUGCUGAUAAAAGCAGAUUUUUGAGAGUAAUCUUAGUUUCUGUGGAGGAGGAGGAGAGGAGGAGAGGAGAAGAGGCUGCAGGAGAGGACCUGUGCGUUAGAGCGGAGCAGUGUGCACGCAGGGGGAAGGAGUGAAGAGAGGAGAGCUGGAUGUUUUCUUUUUGAAGGAGGGACAUUGCGAAACUGGCUUGCAAUCUUUUCUGACUCAUCGUUUGGAUAUAAGGCAUCCUUUUUAUUUCCUCCCCCCUCCUCGCGCUCCCCCGGGCCCCCACCCGUACCUCUGGCACCGGAGAGGAGAGCUCAGGAGGAUUUUGACACCACGUUUGGGUUCCUUUUGCAAAAUGCGACAUGCUUUCCUGUGAGCGGUGCGUUGUGCGCACCUCGCAGCCUGCUGCACUGUGAACACACCGGGACCAGGACCAGGACCAGUACCAGCACCGGGUUUGUUUUCCUCACUCUGAUCAGCUGUAACUUCUUCAGGACUCUCUCUGGAUUUAUUUGGAUUAUUGGAGUCUGUGUUGAGGGGGACUGACGCGCUGUCAACGCGCACCGAGAGGGGAAGGAAAGGAAGGGAGGGGAGAGAGGACGAUCCUGUCACCCAACGUGGAUCCAGACUCAGGGGCUGUGUAGCUGCACUGCUAAGGGACCGAGUGGGCACAGGGAACUAAAACCUGCCCUGUGAACUACAUGUGCCCGGCUCCAAAUGAUCUCCUAAUCUCUGGGAACCGCGCGCCGUCCAGGAUUGAGGACGCAUCUGCACCCAAAGCUGACUGAAGAUGGAGAGCGAAAAGAAGAGGAGGAAAUACUCCACGAGCAGCAACGACUCUGACACCACCGACAAAUUACUCUACAUGAUUUUAAUAUCAGAUCAUGGACCUGACCUAAAUCAUGAAACAAAGACUAGCAGCAACAAGAUUCACAUCUCCAAACCGUCUCAAACAAAACCAGCAGAGAGAGGACGAGGUCUUCA
This is a long non-coding RNA of Notolabrus celidotus (New Zealand spotty), 1011 nucleotides long. RefSeq lists it as uncharacterized. The transcript is spliced from 3 exons. The record is from RefSeq and is a predicted model, not a curated record. NCBI's taxonomy places the organism in Eukaryota, Metazoa, Chordata, Actinopteri, Labriformes, Labridae.